This 459-nucleotide ribosomal RNA is filed under the name uncultured bacterium. RNAcentral's name for it is "partial 16S ribosomal RNA". It matches the Rfam family "Bacterial small subunit ribosomal RNA", at positions 338 to 795 of the family's 1533-position model. The record is from RNAcentral.
CCUACGGGAGGCAGCAGUGAGGAAUAUUGGUCAAUGGCCGAGAGGCUGAACCAGCCAAGUCGCGUGAGGGAAGACGGCCCUACGGGUUGUAAACCUCUUUUGUCGGGGAGCAACGCGCGUCACGUGUGACUCAUUGAGAGUACCCGAAGACAAAGCAUCGGCUAACUCCGUUCCAGCAGCCGCGGUAAUACGGAGGAUGCGAGCGUUAUCCGGAUUUAUUGGGUUUAAGGGGUGCGCAGGCGGAGGUGCAAGUCAGCGGUCAAAUUGCGGGGCUCAACCCCGGACUGCCGUUGAAACUGCAGCCCUUGAGUGCGCGAGAAGUAGGCGGAAGGCGUGGUGUAGCGGUGAAAUGCAUAGAUAUCACGAAGAACUCCGAUUGCGAAGGCAGCAUACCGGCGCGCAACUGACGCUCAUGCACGAAAGCGUGGGUAUCGAACAGGAUUAGAUACCCUUGUAGUC